This 2527-nucleotide long non-coding RNA is filed under the name Homo sapiens (human). Its description in RNAcentral is "HSALNT0364365". The record is from RNAcentral. Lineage: Eukaryota; Metazoa; Chordata; Mammalia; Primates; Hominidae.
AUUGGCCCUUGACCAGCCUGAUUGGUUGCAGGAGGGGACCAAUCAGAGGUACCUCCCAUUUUUCAUCUGCAGCCCAAUGCAAAGUAAUGACAUGGAUCUGGAGAGAUUCUCUUAGGAGAGAAUCUGGCUAAGUGUCUAGCAGGAUGAUUGAUUAACAAGAUGUUUUGUUUUCAUCAUCUCAGAGACAGCUGUAUUGAGGUAUAAUUGAUAUGCCAAAUAACUGGACACAUUCAACUUGUGCAAUUUGAUGAGUUUGGAGAUACACAUACAUCUGUGAAACCAUCACCAAAAUCAAGAGAAAGUGGACUAUGAACAAUCGAAAGAAAGUGGUGGAUGGUUUCUGGAAGGACAAGUCUGCACCAGAGAAUAAAAGGGCAUUCCUUAGGGUUGCUGAGGAUUUUCUUUGAUUGUAUUCUGCUAAUGUGUGUGCAAGGCAGAUAUAACACAUUUGUGGAAGGCUCUAGAGACAUUUUCUACAAAUUUUACCCUGGUUUCAGAACAACUUUCUCUGAUCUCUGUGGACAUGCUUAAAAUGGCUGACUCACACAGCAAGACUAUUUAACUGUGCCUAAAAUCAACCCACAUUCAGAUGCUAACUGUAAUCCUAUUCCCUGAUCCAUCAGGAAAAAGAGUCUGAUUGACAUAACUUGUCAAGUGUUCGCCCCAGCUUCUAUCAACUAUGGGGAAGGAAGGGCCAGAAGAGGUGUAACCAUCAUGGCUACCAGAGUACAUGGUUUCCAGGCCAAAUACCACAGUGUUCCAGGCAAGGAUGUGGUCAGUUUCCUUCUCUGCUGGAUCCCAAAGCCCAGGGCAGCUCUUGCACAUAGAUCGUUGUCAUUGGAUUUAAGAGGGCCUACCCUGAUAAUACAGGAUAAACUCCUUCUCCCAAAACCUUUUCUUCUCUCAGAAUCUUUUGGCAGCAAACACAUUCAAGCAUCUUCUAUGUGCCAAGAACUUGCUGGAAAACAUCACAAAAGUUAAUAUUUUCUGGAGAUCAAGGAAUGAAACUCAGCCCUCUGCAAAUGGAACACAAACGCCUGGUACAUGGAUGCUACAAUGAAAAGAAUAUGGGUGCUGAAAUCAGAGAGAAUCAUCCAAGGUGGGUCUCCUCUGUCCUUACAAUCUCCAGUCACACCUUAACCACUUUUCCAGAUGAUCCUUAUGCAUGCUGAACUCUGAGAGCCACCAGUGAAGAAGAUAAGUGACCCAUCUACCUGUAGCUGGAAAAUAAAGGCUCUUUGGGAUUCUUUCCCAUGAGUCUUCAUUUCACCAUAUUGGUGAGAGAAGGCAUUCAGGCCCAAUAAUUAACUGAACAUUAGCUGUGUACCAGACACUGUGGUCGACAUUGAGAUAUAACGGAUUUAAGAAAGUCUUUGUGGCUGUGGUGGCUUCAAAUCACUCCCGAGGCUUUAGAAGAAUAUAAUUGCCGUUCUAAGAAGAAUCUGAGGCCUCUAGGAGAUCUGCCAGUAGUGGCCCCAAUGUAUAACAGCACUAGCUCAGUGAAGAGAGAGAGAAAAGAUCUGAAGAGAGUGGUUGCAGUUUGAGCUCUGUCAAUGGGACAGUCCUGGGCAGGAGACUGGGGAGAAGAGGCGGCUUGCUGGUUUUCCUGAACCACUUCCACCCUGAAAGACUCCUUGCAUACAAUCAUCAGAGAAGAACCGUGGGAACCAAGAACCAUGAGCAGGAGAACCAUGAGCACACUGUUCGCAAUGGCCAAGAUUUGGAGGCAACCUAAGUGUCCAUCGACAGACAAAUGGUUAAAGAAAAUGAGGAAGGAAUAUCAAGAAAAUAGACUACAAAUAAAUGUCUUUUAUUUCUACUUCUUCAAUAUAUAUUAUAACAUUCUUCUUGCCAACUGAUCUUCUUGCCUCCAAUUUGACCCCUCUGAUCCACCAAGUAUUGCAUACUACCGUGUUUUGAGACAUAGGAGGAGGAAAAAACCAUGGCUGCGGAGGUGAUUUAAUAUCCUGUUGACUCUGAAGAAAAAUACACUUCUUCAUUAUAAGAGUUUUAUUGCCAAUGACUAGAAGGAAAUGUAAAGGGGACAACACAAGAUGACUAACACAGGAAGUUAUAAAACUCACAGCUCUAACUGUCAUGGCCCUGGGCCCAUGGUGCCUGAAUCCCUCUGGGAGUAUUAAAUGGAAGGCCCCCUGGUACCUGAAUUUUGUUUUAGUUUUCUCUCUCCAUCUCUGUGAUUACACAUAAAAUCAGCCAAGCACCUGCUCCCCUCCAGCCUAGAUAACACAUACCUCCAUGCUAUAAAGGGACAAUUUGACCAAGAGACACCCACCUCACCUGACCACAGAGCUGGAAAAUCUACUAUGUCAGACUUCCAUGCAACCGCUGGUGGGAGAAAGUUUUCACGAGUCUCUCUGGGCCCUUAUCCCUCUCCCCUGUAUUCCCAUCCUUAUCCAAAUCCACAUUUCACCAAACUCCCUAACGCUAAGCAGCUGUUGAAGUUCAGAUCACAGUCUCUGAGGAGCUCCUGGUUUCCCAUGGAAUGUGAUUUGCCUCAUCAUCUUAC